Molecule: small nuclear RNA, 104 nt
Organism: Eptesicus fuscus (big brown bat)
Lineage: Eukaryota; Metazoa; Chordata; Mammalia; Chiroptera; Vespertilionidae
Source: RefSeq, a predicted model, not a curated record
GUGCUUGCUUUGGCAACACAUACAUUAAAACUGGAACAAUACAGAGAUCAGCAUGACCCCUGCACAAGGAUAACAUGCAAAUUCAUAAAGUGUACCAUAUUUUU